UAAGGAAUAUUGGUCAAUGGACGCAAGUCUGAACCAGCCAUGCCGCGUGAAGGAUGAAGGUCCUCUGGAUUGUAAACUUCUUUUAUCUGGGACGAAAACGGGAUUUUUAUCUCAAUUGACGGUACCAGAGGAAUAAGCACCGGCUAACUCCGUGCCAGCAGCCGCGGUAAUACGGAGGGUGCGAGCGUUAUCCGGAUUUACUGGGUUUAAAGGGUGCGUAGGUGGGCUUAUAAGUCAGUGGUGAAAUCUCCGAGCUUAACUUGGAAACUGCCGUUGAUACUAUAGGUCUUGAAUUAUCUGGAGGUAAGCGGAAUAUGUCAUGUAGCGGUGAAAUGCUUAGAUAUGACAUAGAACACCAAUUGCGAAGGCAGCUACUACAUAUAAAUUGACGCUGAGGCACGAAAGCGUGGGGAUCAAACA
RNAcentral lists this ribosomal RNA (420 nucleotides) under uncultured bacterium. Its description in RNAcentral is "bacterial SSU rRNA". It matches the Rfam family "Bacterial small subunit ribosomal RNA", at positions 355 to 774 of the family's 1533-position model. The record is from RNAcentral.